Ameiurus melas (black bullhead) is the source of this 74-nucleotide non-coding RNA. The record is from the annotation of a GenBank genome assembly. Lineage: Eukaryota; Metazoa; Chordata; Actinopteri; Siluriformes; Ictaluridae.
UUUGUAGCGGUCAGUGGUUACGACAUUGGAUUACUGAUCGGAAGGUCAUGGGUUCAAAUCCCAGCACUGCCAAG